UGGAUAAUGUAGGUGCUAACAGU
RNAcentral lists this non-coding RNA (23 nucleotides) under Mus musculus (house mouse). The record is from RNAcentral. Lineage: Eukaryota; Metazoa; Chordata; Mammalia; Rodentia; Muridae.